AGGAGGAUGGGACAGUGAGCUGGGAGCUCUGGGGACUGCUGGGACAAGUUUGAUGAGUUCUAUUUGUGUUGCUAAACCCCAGCAGUGACUGGUUCUCCUGAGCUCAUGAGACGUGUGAUGGUUAAACGCCACAUGAUAAGCGAUCAAUGGAAUGACAGAUUGAGGGUAGGGCUUGAGAAGUAGCACAUAGACCAGUUCUCUGGAAGAUGCAGCUACCAGCUCUGUACCUGGAACAAUUAAAAGUCAUCUCAGCUGCUUGGAGAAAAGGUGUGCAAGGUCUGCUCCAUGCUCUGGGUGUCUGAGAAAUCAGCACAGGACACAUCUCACACUCUGCAUGGUAUCUUCACUCCUCUGUGUGAACAAGAGCAGAACUGACAAAAUUCUUCAGCUGAAACAUCUGAGGAAUGACAUCUCAUCAAAGAUGGACGUUUCCAUGGAAAUAUCUGUUUCGGAUGAAAUUUUUUGAGUCUUUCACAGAUAAAAUAUAAAUAACUGGUUGGACAAGUUUUCAAUAAAUCAAAAUAGAAACUUUUUCUGGAGAAACUGAAA
Long non-coding RNA from Cyanistes caeruleus (blue tit), 549 nucleotides. RefSeq lists it as uncharacterized. The record is from RefSeq and is a predicted model, not a curated record. Lineage: Eukaryota; Metazoa; Chordata; Aves; Passeriformes; Paridae.